Molecule: non-coding RNA, 90 nt
Organism: Mycena latifolia
Lineage: Eukaryota; Fungi; Basidiomycota; Agaricomycetes; Agaricales; Mycenaceae
Source: the annotation of a GenBank genome assembly
GACUUGGUAGCGAAUGGUAUCGCACCACACCCUGUUGCAAGAAUUGCACAACGCAAAGGGACGCAGCUGGUUCGAAUCCAGCCCAGGUCG